RNAcentral lists this ribosomal RNA (253 nucleotides) under uncultured bacterium. RNAcentral describes it as "partial 16S ribosomal RNA". It matches the Rfam family "Bacterial small subunit ribosomal RNA", at positions 524 to 776 of the family's 1533-position model. The record is from RNAcentral.
UACGUAGGGUGCGAGCGUUGUCCGGAAUUAUUGGGCGUAAAGGGCUCGUAGGCGGUUUGUCGCGUCGGGAGUGAAAACCCAGGGCUUAACCCUGGGCUGGCUUCCGAUACGGGCAGACUAGAGGUAUGCAGGGGAGAACGGAAUUCCUGGUGUAGCGGUGAAAUGCGCAGAUAUCAGGAGGAACACCGGUGGCGAAGGCGGGUCUCUGGGCCGUGACUGACGCUGAGGAGCGAAAGCGUGGGUAGCAAACAGG